Acanthosepion pharaonis is the source of this 111-nucleotide non-coding RNA. NCBI's taxonomy places the organism in Eukaryota, Metazoa, Mollusca, Cephalopoda, Sepiida, Sepiidae. The record is from the annotation of a GenBank genome assembly.
UAGCCAUAUCUCGUUGAAACACCCGUUCUGGUACGAUCACCGAAGUUAAGCAACGUCGAGCCUGGUCAGUAACUAGAUGGGUGAUUGCUUGAGAAUAACACAUGCUGUAAG